Molecule: ribosomal RNA, 228 nt
Filed under: Corydalis ochotensis
Lineage: Eukaryota; Viridiplantae; Streptophyta; Magnoliopsida; Ranunculales; Papaveraceae
Source: RNAcentral
CGCGCACCGAGUCGCCCCCAUCCCCCCGAUCAUGUGCGGGGGAGGCGGGAGCGGAGAAUGGCCCCCCGUGCCCCCGUGCGCGGCCGGCCCAAACACAGGCCCCGGGAGGCCGACGUCACGAUCCGUGGUGGUUGUAAGAGACACACGCAAAUCGGAUCCCGUGCACGCCGCGCCGCACCCAAGGCCACAACAACCCCCCAAGGGCCGUCUCCGGACGGCGCCCACUCU